RNAcentral lists this ribosomal RNA (426 nucleotides) under Proteus mirabilis. Its description in RNAcentral is "bacterial SSU rRNA". It matches the Rfam family "Bacterial small subunit ribosomal RNA", at positions 364 to 787 of the family's 1533-position model. The record is from RNAcentral. Lineage: Bacteria; Pseudomonadati; Pseudomonadota; Gammaproteobacteria; Enterobacterales; Morganellaceae.
UAGCAUGGGCGCAGCUGAUGCAGCCAUGCCGCGUGUAUGAAGAAGGCCUUAGGGUUGUAAAGUACUUUCAGCGGGGAGGAAGGUGAUAAGGUUAAUACCCUUAUCAAUUGACGUUACCCGCAGAAGAAGCACCGGCUAACUCCGUGCCAGCAGCCGCGGUAAUACGGAGGGUGCAAGCGUUAAUCGGAAUUACUGGGCGUAAAGCGCACGCAGGCGGUCAAUUAAGUCAGAUGUGAAAGCCCCGAGCUUAACUUGGGAAUUGCAUCUGAAACUGGUUGGCUAGAGUCUUGUAGAGGGGGGUAGAAUUCCAUGUGUAGCGGUGAAAUGCGUAGAGAUGUGGAGGAAUACCGGUGGCGAAGGCGGCCCCCUGGACAAAGACUGACGCUCAGGUGCGAAAGCGUGGGGAGCAAACAGGAUUAGAUACCC